GUCUACACACACCACCCUGAAUGCUCCUGAUCUUGUCUGGUCUCAGAAGCCAAACAAGGUAGGGCUCAGUUAAUAACUGGAUGGGGGAAAUGAUCUCAUGAAUUUUUCUAGAUGUUAACC
RNAcentral lists this ribosomal RNA (120 nucleotides) under Jaculus jaculus (lesser Egyptian jerboa). The record is from RNAcentral. Lineage: Eukaryota; Metazoa; Chordata; Mammalia; Rodentia; Dipodidae.